AUGUUGACUUCUGAUAGAAAAUUCACUGUCAAAUCACUAUACAGGUUUCUGAUCAAGUCUGGCGUAGGAUUCCCUAGGAUGUUUCUGUGGAAGAAUAAAGUUCCUACUAAGAUCAGAUUCUUUCUUUGGCUGCUAGCAAGGAAAAGUAUACUCACUAGAGACAAUUUGUUGAAGAGGGGCCAGAAAGGAGAUAAAAAUUGUGUAUUUUGUGGCAAAGAUGAAAUGAUAGAUCAUAUGUUUUUCUCUUGCUCAGUAGCAAAAAUCAUCUGGGCUCUAGUGAGAUGUGCAUUUGAUUUGACAUGUACACCUAGAGACCUUAAUGAGUGUUUCGGAACAUGGUUCAAAAAUUUCCAGAAAGAUAGCAAGAAACUUAUAUUGGUUGGCGUCUCAGCGCUACUGUGGACAAUUUGGCGAUGUAGAAAUAACAUUGUGUUUGAUAGAAAAAUGAUUUCUGACCCAAUGGGUAUUGUGAAAAUGAUGUGUGGAUGGAUCUCUGACUGGGCUGUUUUACAGAAAAGGUACCCAGGGGAAAGAAUGUUGAUGUUGGGAGCAAAACUAAUCGUGCAAGUAGCAAGUGAUGUCUACAGAGCCGCGCAAGGCUGGCAUUUUGGAGUUCUUUGA
This 621-nucleotide ribosomal RNA is filed under the name Triticum aestivum (bread wheat). RNAcentral's name for it is "partial small subunit ribosomal RNA". Lineage: Eukaryota; Viridiplantae; Streptophyta; Magnoliopsida; Poales; Poaceae. The record is from RNAcentral.